Molecule: ribosomal RNA, 443 nt
Filed under: uncultured bacterium
Lineage: Bacteria
Description: partial 16S ribosomal RNA
Rfam family: Bacterial small subunit ribosomal RNA
Source: RNAcentral
CCUACGGGCGGCAGCAGUGGGGAAUAUUGGGCAAUGGGCGCAAGCCUGACCCAGCAACGCCGCGUGAAGGAAGAAGGCUUUCGGGUUGUAAACUUCUUUUCUGAGGGACGAAGAAAGUGACGGUCCCUCAGGACUAAGCCACGGCUAACUACGUGCCAGCAGCCGCGGUAAUACGUAGGUGGCAAGCGUUAUCCGGAUUUAUUGGGUGUAAAGGGCGUGUAGGCGGGAAAGCAAGUCAGUGGUGAAAACUCAGGGCUCAACCCUGAGCCUGCAUUUGAAACUGUUUUUCUGGAGUGCUGGAGAGGCAAUCGGAAUUCCGGGUGUAGCGGUGAAAUGCGUAGAUAUACGGAGGAACACCAGUGGCGAAGGCGGAUUGUUGGACAGUAACUGACGCUGAGGCGCGAAAGCGUGGGGAGCAAACAGGAUUAGAUACCCUGGUAGUC